AUGGGAGGCCUCUAAAGCCAGAAAAGGCAAGAGUACAAAUAAUCCUUUACAGCCUUCAGAUAGAAUGCAGCCCUGAUGGCAGCUUGAUUUUAGCUCUUGUCAGAAUUCUGACCUGCUAAAAUGAAAAAACUUCUAGGGGAAUUGGAUGUGAAAAGUGUCCCUGGUCCUAUGAUCACAAAGAUUUGCAGCAAGGUCAAGACACAGAAGUAACAAAUGCUUCCAGCUUCAGCAAAUGGUGCCCCAUCUUCUGCAUGGGAAUACCCAUUAUUCCAAGCCUGUUUUCGGGGAAAGUGAUAGACAAUGGUGGUGCCCAGGGUGCAGGGAACAAAGGGAACUGGACAGAUGGAAAAUACGCAUUGGGGUUAUAAAAUACAAUUCUGCAGAGGUCCUUUUCCUCAGACACAACCUAGAAAAUGGCAAUGAAAAAGAUAAGGAAAAUUAAAGAGAUGAAAUCCAAGAUCAUUAGAAAGCUGUACAUACUGAUACAGACACCCAGGAACCUCAAAAUCACAGGAUACAAAGGGAGAAAAGCAGUAAUCGACCAGCUAGGACUCAGCUAAGCAGGACAGCAGAGUAAAAUGAGGCUCAAGUGCUAACUUCUGGCAGGUAGAUCAGAUAAUCUGAAUUAUUGGUAUGGUGUAUGUGGUAUAGGGUGGAUUGUGUGAUUGAUCGAUUGUUACCUGUAUAAUUCUCCUUUUGGUAAUUACAUUGAGUUUUUUUUUUUAAGUUUUUUUUUUCUCAAUACCACCUCUUAAGGUUUUAAAAACUGUUUCAUAUCUGAUUAAGUAAAAAUUUUCAAUAACUGCAUUGGUAAAUUGCUAAUAAAAAUUAAAUGUAACUUUAAACAGUCAAUAA
RNAcentral lists this long non-coding RNA (855 nucleotides) under Homo sapiens (human). RNAcentral describes it as "novel transcript". Lineage: Eukaryota; Metazoa; Chordata; Mammalia; Primates; Hominidae. The record is from RNAcentral.